Molecule: ribosomal RNA, 733 nt
Filed under: Pythium insidiosum
Lineage: Eukaryota; Oomycota; Peronosporomycetes; Pythiales; Pythiaceae
Description: eukaryotic LSU rRNA
Rfam family: 5.8S ribosomal RNA (bases 252-406)
Source: RNAcentral
GAGGUGAUACAUCACGCUGGAGGACUGAACCACGUGAACCGUUCUAAAUAUGUUCUGUGCCCCGUCAACGUGUGCUGCUAUCCUUUGGAAAGUGGCGUAACGUUGGCUUGAGGCUGAACGAAGGUUGGCUUUGUACUCGUGUGGCUCUCGGGCUGCGCGGUGGAAGAGCUUACCGAUGUCUAUUUCAAACCCAUUAACUAAAUACUGAUCCUUACUCCGAGGACGAAAGUCUUUGGUUUUAAUCCAUUAACAACUUUCAGCAGUGGAUGUCUAGGCUCGCACAUCGAUGAAGAACGCUGCGAACUGCGAUACGUAAUGCGAAUUGCAGGAUUCAGUGAGUCAUCGAAAUUUUGAACGCAUAUUGCACUUUCGGGUUAUGCCUGGAAGUAUGCCUGUAUCAGUGUCCGUACAUCAAACUUGCCUUUCUUUUUCUGUGUAGUCAGGAAAAGAGAUGGCAGAAUGUGAGGUGUCUCGAGCCGUCCCCAUCUGGGAGAUAGCACGAGUCCCUUUAAAUGUACGUUGAUCUCUCUUGUGUCUUAGUAGAAGUGUAAUGCUCGACCGCAGUGAUCUGUUCAGAUUGCUUUGCGCUGGUGGGCGACUCCGGAGAGGACAUUAAGGAGGCGACCUCUAAUGGCGGAUGUUAGGCUUCGCCCCAACUUCCAGCUGACGGGGGGUGCUUUCCGUCUUUCCUUGAGGGAAACGGCCGGGGGAAGUCCAACUGGGCCCUGGGUAU